This 465-nucleotide ribosomal RNA is filed under the name Vreelandella stevensii. Its description in RNAcentral is "partial 16S ribosomal RNA". It matches the Rfam family "Bacterial small subunit ribosomal RNA", at positions 338 to 795 of the family's 1533-position model. The record is from RNAcentral. Lineage: Bacteria; Pseudomonadati; Pseudomonadota; Gammaproteobacteria; Oceanospirillales; Halomonadaceae.
CCUACGCGGGGCUGCAGUGGGGAAUAUUGGACAAUGGGGGGAACCCUGAUCCAGCCAUGCCGCGUGUGUGAAGAAGGCCCUCGGGUUGUAAAGCACUUUCAGUGAGGAAGAACGCCUGGUGGUUAAUACCCAUCAGGAAAGACAUCACUCACAGAAGAAGCACCGGCUAACUCCGUGCCAGCAGCCGCGGUAAUACGGAGGGUGCGAGCGUUAAUCGGAAUUACUGGGCGUAAAGCGCGCGUAGGUGGCUUGAUAAGCCGGUUGUGAAAGCCCCGGGCUCAACCUGGGAACGGCAUCCGGAACUGUCAAGCUAGAGUGCAGGAGAGGAAGGUAGAAUUCCCGGUGUAGCGGUGAAAUGCGUAGAGAUCGGGAGGAAUACCAGUGGCGAAGGCGGCCUUCUGGACUGACACUGACACUGAGGUGCGAAAGCGUGGGUAGCAAACAGGAUUAGAUACCCCAGUAGUC